GUGGAUUAGAUACCCGGGUAGUCCACGCUGUAAACGAUGAGCACUAGGUGUAGCGGGUACUCAUUCCUGCUGUGCCGCAGCUAACGCGUUAAGUGCUCCGCCUGGGGACUACGGUCGCAAGACUAAAACUCAAAGGAAUUGACGGGGGCCCGCACAAGCGGUGGAGUAUGUGGUUUAAUUCGACGCAACGCGAAGAACCUUACCUGGGCUUGACAUCCCCGGCCAGCCCAAGAAAUUGGGUUUUCCCUUUCGGGGGACCGGGAGACAGGUGCUGCACGGUCGUCGUCAACU
RNAcentral lists this ribosomal RNA (291 nucleotides) under uncultured bacterium. Its description in RNAcentral is "partial 16S ribosomal RNA". It matches the Rfam family "Bacterial small subunit ribosomal RNA", at positions 773 to 1060 of the family's 1533-position model. The record is from RNAcentral.